UUCCUAAUCCUAGGUGUUGUAUUGAGUGUUGUUCAUUGGCCUAGGUGAAGCCUGGGAAGCAGUGGGGCAGCCAUGGAGCUGCUGACUGGGACUGGCCUGUGGCCUGUGGCCAUAUUCACAGUCAUCUUCAUAUUACUGGUGGACCUGAUGCACCGGCGCCAGCGCUGGACUUCUCGCUACCCACCGGGCCCUGUGCCAUGGCCUGUGCUGGGUAACCUGCUGCAGGUGGACCUGGAUAACAUGCCAUACAGCUUGUACAAGCUUCAAAACCGCUAUGGUGAUGUGUUCAGCCUUCAGAUGGCCUGGAAGCCCGUGGUUGUGAUCAGCGGACUGAAGGCCGUGCGGGAAGUGCUGGUGACCUGUGGAGAGGACACAGCUGACCGCCCUGAAAUGCCCAUCUUUCAACACCUAGGCUAUGGGGAAAAAGCUAAAGGUGUGGUCUUUGCACCUUACGGGCCUGAAUGGCGAGAACUGAGGAGAUUCUCUGUGUCAACCCUGCGCAACUUGGGCCUGGGCAAGAAAUCGCUGGAGCAGUGGGUGACAGAGGAAGCUGGCCACCUCUGUGAUGCCUUCACCGCCCAGGCUGGGAGUCCCCUCGAUCCUUACACACUCCUGAACAAAGCUGUGUGCAAUGUGAUUGCGUCUCUCAUUUAUGCCCGUCGCUUUGAGUAUGGAGACCCUGACUUCAUCAAGAUGCUAAAAAUAUUGAAAGAAAACAUGGGAGAGAAUACUGGCUUGUUUCCAGAGGUUCUGAACACAUUUCCAAUUCUCCUGCACAUCCCAGGGUUGGCUGACAAAGUCUUCCCUGGGCAAAAGACAUUUCUCACCCUGGUAAAUAAGCUGGUGACUGAGCACAAGAGGACCUGGGACCCUGACCAGCCACCUCGUGACCUGACUGAUGCCUUUCUGGCUGAAAUGGAGAAGGCAAAGGGGAACCCUAAGAGUAGCUUCAAUGAAGCAAAUCUACGUCUGGUUGUCUUUGACCUGUUUGGUGCUGGGAUUGUGACCAGUUCAAUCACUCUGACCUGGGCCCUGCUGCUCAUGAUCUUGCAUCCAGAUGUGCAGCGCCGAGUGCAAGAGGAAAUCGACGAGGUCAUAGGGCAGGUGCGGUGUCCAGAGAUGGCAGACCAGGCCCACAUGCCCUACACCAAUGCUGUCAUUCAUGAGGUGCAGCGCUUUGCAGACAUUGUCCCAAUGAACUUGCCACACAAGACUUCUCAUGAUAUUGGAAGUACAGGGCUUCCUUAUCCCUAAGGGGACGACCCUCAUCCCCAACCUGUCCUCCGCGCUAAAGGAUGAGACUGUCUGGGAGAAGCCCCUCCGCUUCCAUCCUGAACACUUCCUGGAUGCCCAGGGCCAUUUUGUGAAGCCUGAGGCCUUCAUGCCAUUCUCAGCAGGUCGUCGAGCAUGCCUGGGGGAGCCCCUGGCCCGCAUGGAGCUCUUCCUCUUCUUCACCUGCCUCCUGCAGCGCUUUAGCUUCUUAGUGCCUGCUGGACAGCCCCAGCCCAGUGACUAUGGCAUCUUUACAUUUCUGGUUAGCCCCUCCCCCUAUCAGCUCUGUGCAUUCACACGUUAGCAGGCAACAAAUCCUAGUCCAGAAACUAGCUUAGAGUCACACGCACAAUAAACCAGUUUUGUGGCUGCCA
This is an RNA transcript of Mus musculus (house mouse), 1646 nucleotides long. It is a transcript of the gene named cytochrome P450, family 2, subfamily d, polypeptide 13, with no coding region annotated. The transcript is spliced from 9 exons. Lineage: Eukaryota; Metazoa; Chordata; Mammalia; Rodentia; Muridae. The record is from RefSeq.